This 253-nucleotide ribosomal RNA is filed under the name uncultured bacterium. Its description in RNAcentral is "partial 16S ribosomal RNA". It matches the Rfam family "Bacterial small subunit ribosomal RNA", at positions 524 to 776 of the family's 1533-position model. The record is from RNAcentral.
CACGUAGGGCGCAAGCGUUGUCCGGAAUUAUUGGGCGUAAAGAGCUCGUAGGCGGUCUGUUGCGUCCGCUGUGAAAACUCGGGGCUUAACCCCGAGCCUGCAGUGGAUACGGGCAGACUAGAGGUAGGUAGGGGAGAAUGGAAUUCCAGGUGUAGCGGUGAAAUGCGUAGAUAUCUGGAGGAACACCCGUGGUGCAGACGGCUUGCUGGACCGUGACUGACGCUGAGGCACGAAAGCGUGGGUAGCAAACAGG